AUACGGAGGGUGCAAGCGUUAAUCGGAAUUACUGGGCGUAAAGCGUGCGUAGGUGGUUUGUUAAGUUAGAUGUGAAAGCCCUGGGCUCAACCUAGGAACUGCAUUUAAAACUGGCAAACUAGAGUAUAGGAGAGGAAAGUGGAAUUUCAGGUGUAGCGGUGAAAUGCGUAGAUAUCUGAAGGAACAUCAAUGGCGAAGGCAGCUUUCUGGACUAAUACUGACACUGAGGUACGAAAGCGUGGGUAGCAAACAGGAUUAGAUACCCUGGUAGUCCACGCCGUAAACGAUGACAACUAGCCGUUGGGAGGAUUUACCUCUUAGUGGCGAAGCUAACGCGUUAAGUUGUCCGCCUGGGGAGUACGGCCGCAAGGUUAAAACUCAAAGGAAUUGACGGGGACCCGCACAAGCGGUGGAGCAUGUGGUUUAAUUCGAUGCAACGCGAAGAACCUUACCUGGUCUUGACAUACACGGAACUUUCCAGAGAUGGAUUGGUGCCUUCGGGAACCGUGAUACAGGUGCUGCAUGGCUGUCGUCAGCUCGUGUCGUGAGAUGUUGGGUUAAGUCCCGUAACGAGCGCAACCCUUAUCCUUAUUUGCCAGCACAUAAUGGUGGGAACUAUAAGGAGACUGCCGGUGAUAAACCGGAGGAAGGCGGGGACGACGUCAAGUCAUCAUGGCCCUUACGACCAGGGCUACACACGUGCUACAAUGGGAAGGACAAAGGGUUGCUAAGCCGCGAGGUGGUGCUAAUCUCAUAAACCUUUUCGUAGUCCGGAUCGGAGUCUGCAACUCGACUCCGUGAAGUCGGAAUCGCUAGUAAUCGUAGAUCAGAACGCUACGGUGAAUACGUUCCCGGGUCUUGCACACACCGCCCGUC
Molecule: ribosomal RNA, 876 nt
Filed under: uncultured bacterium
Lineage: Bacteria
Description: bacterial SSU rRNA
Rfam family: Bacterial small subunit ribosomal RNA
Source: RNAcentral